CCUACGGGAGGCAGCAGCCAGCAGCCGCGGUAAUAUUGCGCAAUGGAGGAAACUCUGACGCAGUGACGCCGCGUAUAGGAAGAAGGUUUUCGGAUUGUAAACUAUUGUCGUUAGGGAAGAAAAAAGACAGUACCUAAGGAGGAAGCCCCGGCUAACUAUGUGCCAGCAGCCGCGGUAAU
Molecule: ribosomal RNA, 179 nt
Filed under: uncultured rumen bacterium
Lineage: Bacteria
Description: partial 16S ribosomal RNA
Rfam family: Bacterial small subunit ribosomal RNA
Source: RNAcentral